GGAAAACUCACCAGGUCCAGACAUAGAUAGGAUUGACAGACUGAUAGCUCUUUCUUAAUUCUAUGGGUGGUGGUGCAUGGCCGUUCUUAGUUGGUGGAGUGAUUUGUCAGGUUAAUUCCGUUAACGAACGAGACCUUAACCUGCUAAAUAGUUUCCAGAACUUAGGUUCUCGGGUUACUUCUUAGAGCGACUUCGUGUGUUUAACGCGAGGAAGUUUGAGGCAGUAA
This 227-nucleotide ribosomal RNA is filed under the name uncultured eukaryote. RNAcentral's name for it is "partial 18S ribosomal RNA". It matches the Rfam family "Eukaryotic small subunit ribosomal RNA", at positions 1208 to 1456 of the family's 1831-position model. The record is from RNAcentral.